GCUCCCAAACUUUGAAGUUAUUAUUUCAUGUUUCUUAUUUUAGAUGGGUGGGUGAGUUUAAUGGUCACGNGUGGCGUUUAGCGCACCAAUGAACACAUUUGGCCAUUGAAUUGUUGAGUAAAAAGAUCAUUUAGGUGCUUUCAUGUGAGUUAGAUGAGCUCCACAACCAUUGCUGGUCAUUUUCUGCCCUAGUAAUCGAUUACAAGACCCUUGUAAUCGAUUACCAGAAGAAAAAUGGUCAUUUGUACCGAAACUUCAACUAUGCUUCCGACUUGGAUGAACAACGCUCCCUAACUUUGUUUUUUUGACCUUUGCUGCUUGUUUUGUUCUUAACUUUCUCCGCCGAACUCCAAAGGAGUUGAUUCCUUUUUUGUUGGAAUCUAGACUCAAAGAGCUUUCAAAUGACUACUAACUCAUAAUUUUUAGACCAUUGUACUCGUUGCAGUUAAUAUCCCAAUAAAAAAACGUUUUUCUAAGCUUCCUAAAUGAGUUUACUUUGAAGUUAUUGUUUCAUGUUUCUUAUUUUAGAUGGGUGGGUGAGUUUAAUGGUCACGGGUGGCGUUUAGCGAACCAAUGAACACAUUAGGCCAUUGAAUUGUUGAGUAAAAAGAUCAUUUAGGUGCUUUCUUGUGAGUUAGAUGAGCUCCACAAGCAUUGUUGGUCAUUUUCUGCCCUGGUAAUCGAUUACAAGAAAAAUGAUCAUUUGUACCAAAACUUCAACUAUGCUCCCGACCUGGAUGAACAACGCUCCCCAACUUUGUUUUUCUGACCUUCGAUGCUUGUUUUGUUCUUAACUUUCUCCGCCAAACUCCAAAUGAGUUGAUUCUUGUUUUGUUGGAAUCUAGACUCAAAGAGCUUUCAAAUGACUACUAACUCAUAAUUUUUAGACUACUGCACUCGAUGCAGUUAAUUUUUGAAAAAAAAAACGUUUUUUUAAGCUUCCUAAAUGAGUUUACUUUCAAAUUAUUGUUUCAUGUUUCUUAUUUUAGAUGGGUGGGUGAGUUUAAUGGUCACGGGUGGUGUUUAGUGCACCAAUGAACACAUUAGGCCAUUGAUUUCGUAAAAAAAAAUGUUCAUUUAGAAGGUGGUUUUCUCCAAUCGAGGUGAUGUGUAUAACCAUUGUUUCCUUUUUGAAGACCUAGUAAAGAAUUCAAAAUAUAAGUAAAAUUCGGUUUGUUGGAAACCCAAUUCCAAUAUACUUUUCCUAUAAAUACUUAAAAAAUAAAAUU
Molecule: long non-coding RNA, 1229 nt
Filed under: Vigna radiata
Lineage: Eukaryota; Viridiplantae; Streptophyta; Magnoliopsida; Fabales; Fabaceae
Description: long non-coding RNA (VRAD_LNC006074)
Source: RNAcentral